Molecule: transfer RNA, 67 nt
Filed under: Marmota monax (woodchuck)
Lineage: Eukaryota; Metazoa; Chordata; Mammalia; Rodentia; Sciuridae
Description: tRNA.Val
Rfam family: tRNA
About the family: Transfer RNA (tRNA) molecules are approximately 80 nucleotides in length. Their secondary structure includes four short double-helical elements and three loops (D, anti-codon, and T loops).
Source: RNAcentral
GGUCAUAGCUCAUUGGUAGAGCACUUGCCUCACAUGCAUGAGGCACUGGGUUCGAACCUCAGCACCA